ACUUGCUUUGCACAUCAGUUCUCAUCAGAUGAUAGGAACCCACUGCAAGGGCAGUACCGCUGUUGACAAAGACUAGAGCUUGGGGGAGAUCUCUCCGCUUUGCUAAUUCUCACCUACCAAACCAGAGGUGACCCACCAGCCUCGCUCUUGGACAGCCCCGCCUCACACUUCAUUAUCAUGUUUACAGAGCACCAUACACUGUUCCAC
RNAcentral lists this long non-coding RNA (207 nucleotides) under Bos taurus (domestic cattle). RNAcentral's name for it is "long non-coding RNA NONBTAT015673". Lineage: Eukaryota; Metazoa; Chordata; Mammalia; Artiodactyla; Bovidae. The record is from RNAcentral.